Molecule: ribosomal RNA, 502 nt
Filed under: uncultured bacterium
Lineage: Bacteria
Description: bacterial SSU rRNA
Rfam family: Bacterial small subunit ribosomal RNA
Source: RNAcentral
AACGAACGCUGGCGGCGCGCCUAACACAUGCAAGUCGAACGAGAAUCCGGGGCAACCCGGUAGUAAAGUGGCAAACGGGUGAGGAAUACAUGGGUAACCUACCCUUGAGAAGGGAAUAACCCGCCGAAAGGUGAGCUAAUACCCUAUACGCUAUCUUUUUUUUCGAAAAGGAUAGGAAAGCCGGGUCGAGGACCUGGUACUCAAGGAGGGGCUCAUGUCCUAUCAGCUUGUUGGUGGGGUAACGGCCUACCAAGGCUACGACGGGUAGCUGGUCUGAGAGGAUGAUCAGCCACACUGGCACUGAGAUACGGGCCAGACUCCUACGGGAGGCAGCAGUGAGGAAUAUUGCGCAAUGGGCGAAAGCCUGACGCAGCGACGCCGCGUGCGGGAUGAAGGUCUUCGGAUUGUAAACCGCUGUCGGAGGGAUGAAGUGCAUCAGGGCAAUCCCUGGUGUUUGACAGAGCCUCGGAGGAAGCACGGGCUAAGUUCGUGCCAGCAGCCG